Molecule: transfer RNA, 73 nt
Filed under: Methanomicrobiales archaeon
Lineage: Archaea; Methanobacteriati; Methanobacteriota; Methanomicrobia; Methanomicrobiales
Description: tRNA-Thr
Rfam family: tRNA
About the family: Transfer RNA (tRNA) molecules are approximately 80 nucleotides in length. Their secondary structure includes four short double-helical elements and three loops (D, anti-codon, and T loops).
Source: RNAcentral
GCCUUCGUGGCUCAGCCGGCAGAGCGUGUCCUUGGUAAGGACAAGGUCGCGGGUUCGAUUCCCGCCGAAGGCU